Long non-coding RNA from Sebastes umbrosus (honeycomb rockfish), 171 nucleotides. RefSeq lists it as uncharacterized. The transcript is spliced from 3 exons. The record is from RefSeq and is a predicted model, not a curated record. NCBI's taxonomy places the organism in Eukaryota, Metazoa, Chordata, Actinopteri, Perciformes, Sebastidae.
AAACUAACCCUUAACGUAAGUUACUACGAGCAACCACGAACGCUUUCAGCUCAAAGUCACCAGUUAACACGGUUAGCAGACAGUAGAGUCACUGCGAUUUGCCACCCCAGCAAUGGCGGCGCCGCUAGAUCGCGGAACACACAAAGCGGUCACCGGGUAUAUAUACCCAUA